GAACGAGUUGACAUGCUUAAAGUCCAACCAAACACAAUAAAAAAAGUGAAAAAAGGACAGUAUAAUAUUAUAGAUAGCUUCAAAUGUAACAAAAAGAUUCCCCUCCAUCUAAGAUAUAAGCGUGAAGAUUUUUUAAGGGACGAUUUAGAUUUCAUAAAAGCUUCUUUUGAGUGUAAUCUGCCAGCAGUUAUGUCAAACAGGAACGAAAACACAG
Molecule: long non-coding RNA, 214 nt
Filed under: Mytilus galloprovincialis (Mediterranean mussel)
Lineage: Eukaryota; Metazoa; Mollusca; Bivalvia; Mytilida; Mytilidae
Source: RNAcentral